GAUUAAAUGGCUGAUAAUAGGCAAUAAAUUGUAAAUUUAUUUAUGGGAAAACUUUCUCUUUAAUCA
RNAcentral lists this transfer RNA (66 nucleotides) under Anopheles cruzii. Its description in RNAcentral is "tRNA-Tyr". The record is from RNAcentral. Lineage: Eukaryota; Metazoa; Arthropoda; Insecta; Diptera; Culicidae.